This 433-nucleotide ribosomal RNA is filed under the name uncultured bacterium. RNAcentral's name for it is "partial 16S ribosomal RNA". It matches the Rfam family "Bacterial small subunit ribosomal RNA", at positions 29 to 507 of the family's 1533-position model. The record is from RNAcentral.
AACGAACGCUGGCGGCAGGCCUAACACAUGCAAGUCGAGCGGACCUUUCGGGGUCAGCGGCGGACGGGUGCGUAACGCGUGGGAAUCUGCCCUUCUCUACGGAAUAGUCCUGGGAAACUGGGGGUAAUACCGUAUAAGGCCUUUGGGGGAAAGAUUUAUCGGGGAUGGAUUAGCCCGCGUUGGAUUAGGUAGUUGGUGGGGUAAUGGCCUACCAAGGCGACGAUCCAUAGCUGGUUUGAGAGGAUGAUCAGCCACACUGGGACUGAGACACGGCCCAGACUCCUACGGGAGGCAGCAGUGGGGAAUCUUAGACAAUGGGGGCAACCCUGAUCUAGCAAUGCCGCGUGAGUGAUGAAGGCCUUAGGGUUGUAAAGCUCUUUCAGCUGGGAAGAUAAUGACGGUACCAGCAGAAGAAGCCCCGGCUAACUCCGUG